UACGUAGGGCGCAAGCGUUGUCCGGAAUCACUGGGCGUAAAGCGCACGUAGGCGGAUGUGUCAGUCAGGGGUGAAAUCCCGGAGCUCAACUUCGGAACUGCCUUUGAUACAGCACGUCUUGAGUCCGGAAGAGGUGGGUGGAAUUCCUAGUGUAGAGGUGAAAUUCGUAGAUAUUAGGAAGAACACCGGUGGCGAAGGCGGUUCUCUGGGCAUUACCUGACGCUGAGGAGCGAAAGUGUGGGGAGCGAACAGG
This 253-nucleotide ribosomal RNA is filed under the name uncultured bacterium. RNAcentral describes it as "partial 16S ribosomal RNA". It matches the Rfam family "Bacterial small subunit ribosomal RNA", at positions 524 to 776 of the family's 1533-position model. The record is from RNAcentral.